CUUAGCCUCGGCUCCUGUAAAUCAUAUAAGCACACCCACCACACCCCCAGGAGCAUUCCGCGUGCCCCCACCUGCCAACCUGCCUGUCCCCCCCAGCCCACAGGCCGUCUGUUGUUCUGAAAUUUAUCCACAUGACUCCUUACCAAGUCUAAGGUAAAUCAGAUUCCAUCUAUUAGAAAUGAAAUUUUCAGUAAAAUACAAAUUUUUCCCCCAAUCUGGGAGACAGUGCAGAAUUUUUGGAGUCGGUCCUAACUCUGUCUUGAAUAUGUACUCAGCAGGCACCUAGGACUCAUAUCUCCCUCUGAGAAUCUUUCUAAGGCGCUCAGCAGCAGAAAUUCUCCAUCCUAGAUGAGCCUGCAAAGUUCUGUAGAAGUUAAAUAUGCUUUAGUCAAAUGAGAGACUAACCUGUUGUCAGGCAGGGGAAGCUUGAACAAGGCCUUCAUUCAUGACAGCUCCACUUGGCUUUUUGACGAGUCCCCAUUUAGAUGCAGCACGUCAGAGACUGAAGAGCAGGAUGAAGGCUAAAUUCUCUCAAGAAAGAAGUUGCCUCUUACCAUGUCACAAGCAAUUAGUUUUACCCAAAAAGGAGGAGGACCCCUCUCUGCUCCCCGUGUUAAAAAACAAUACACCGCCUCACAGGCCAGAGCCACAGCCUUCUCCUCUCUGCUGGGUGGAAGAACAACUCUCACGCAGUGGAAGUCCUCCAGACCCCCUGCCUUCAGACAA
Brienomyrus brachyistius is the source of this 726-nucleotide long non-coding RNA. RefSeq lists it as uncharacterized. Lineage: Eukaryota; Metazoa; Chordata; Actinopteri; Osteoglossiformes; Mormyridae. The transcript has 3 exons. The record is from RefSeq and is a predicted model, not a curated record.